Pectinophora gossypiella (pink bollworm) is the source of this 914-nucleotide long non-coding RNA. RefSeq lists it as uncharacterized. The record is from RefSeq and is a predicted model, not a curated record. Lineage: Eukaryota; Metazoa; Arthropoda; Insecta; Lepidoptera; Gelechiidae. The transcript has 3 exons.
AUGACAUUUCAUGUUGUGACAACCUCGGAAAAAAUGAAGCAAAGAGCGAAUCAUUUGUCCUUUUCUCACUCAUAGUUUGUGUCGUAAGCUAGAAGAGAGCCGGUUUAUAGUUUCUGAAUUCUUAUUUUAGCCUUCCUUCUAUGCUUUAGUUAUUGUUCUGAGUUUGGACCUAUUGGACUCAUUUUAAUUCGGCCAAAUACAUAGUAACAUACAUAAGAAGAUUUUACUUAUAUUUACCGAACUAUUUGACACGGUCGCGUGAACUUUGUUUACGAGUGUCUUGUGUUCAGAUUGUUUUAAGUGAUAAUUUAACAAUAUUUUUCCAAAUAAAUGGAAAGAAACUUUUAUUUAUAUCAAAUAAUUGAGUGUCUCGACUCUGUGACAUUAUGUCUUGUGUGGUAUGGGGCUGCAGCUCACAUUCAAGAAGAAAAGAAAAUAGCCAACAACUUCUGUCGUUUCAUCGAUAUUAAAUCCAAAAGUGUCGACUGGAUUUACAUGAAAAGUCAGUUCAAGAAGACGAGAUGAAAAAUUUAAAAGAAAAGCUGAACAAGUCACGCCUCAAGAUCAAACGACUUAAUGAAAAAAAAAAUCAAUGUGACAGGGUGUCACAAAGACAGUUUCUAAACAAAUUGACACUUUAGAAAUUAAUAAAUUUGUAUUUAUUGUAAAUAUAAUGUACAUAAUUAAUAACGUGUAUAAUAAAUACUUGCUAAUGAACAGAUUUACGAUCUAAUUUAUAUUUCAUUUUACCUCCUGUUCUUAUUUACUCCUACUCCAACACUCCAGGUUGAUACGAACUGCGCCCAAUAAAGAAUGUAAUGAAUGUUAUAGAUUUGUGUAAGCGACUUAGAUAAAUCUUGACUAAACCUUCCUUUACAAAUACAAAUAUACUUUAUUGCACACAACAUACAAUA